RNAcentral lists this transfer RNA (64 nucleotides) under Yuukianura szeptyckii. Its description in RNAcentral is "tRNA-Leu". Lineage: Eukaryota; Metazoa; Arthropoda; Collembola; Poduromorpha; Neanuridae. The record is from RNAcentral.
UUUAAUAUGGCAGAUUAGUGCACUGAAUUUAAGCUUCAAAUAUGAAUAGUUUAUUCUUUUAAAA